UUUGUAUCACGUGUUAAGGAUAAUUUACUAAGGUACUUAAUUCAGCAGUUUGUUUGACAAUUUGAAAUCAGUAAAUGGGUAAACAUAGUACUUUUAGUUGUGCUUAUGUUUCACAUAUCUUUGCAACUUUGAUGGAAGAAUUUGCUUUAUUUCAUCCUUCAAAGAAUCAAUUACAACUGCAAAAAUAAGGCCUUUUCUAAGGAAGAAUACAAUUCCUACAAGUGCAAUAUUGGUCUUCAAAUAGAGCUUUCUUGAACUUUUUUUAAAGGUAACCAGAGUUUGUAUUUGACAAUCCUUAGCACAAAAUUCAUGCCUUGGCUGGCGCAUAAAGCGGAGCACCACCAAUAGUUGGCCUACAAACAGCACAAAGUCCAUUAUAAACAAAACAAAAAUCUCUAAAAGGUUUUCCCCAAAAUAACCAUGGAACAGAGAUGGGCCAAUAAAAUGAAUUUGCUUUUAGAUUUUUAAAAAAAAACUCAGGGCUUGCACAUUAAAUAGAAGAACAAAUUUGAAAAGUUGGGAAAUAGCAAAUCAACAAAUACAGCGAAAAGAACUUACAGGCCAACAAAAAAUUGGAUACAUUAUGUGUGACAUUCAUGUGUGACAUCACACUUGGAUACAUUGUGACAAAUGUAUAUCAAACAACUAGAAAGAAUUCCUACACAAGUUAAAAAGAUCUUCCUUAAUUUUGAUUGCUUACAUAGUCUCCAAAUUUGAUAGGCUUUCAAGAUCAUUUGGUAUCUCCCCUUCCAGCUUGUUAAAGCUAAGGUCUCUGCCAAUAAAUAAAACAGAGCUUAUACUUAAGAAGGAAACAAAAACACCAAUCAGAGAGCUUAUACUUGAGUUAAAUUGCUCAAGACAGAAAUGCUAGAAGGUAUUGGCCCUUCAAAACCACUAAACCAAUUCUAGACGGUAUUUUUAAAAUAUUUUUUAAAAAUAAAUAAAUUACAAACAAAUUCUUUUUGUGUAAUUAACCUUCAUCUGUGUAUGGUCAUAUUACCCAUUUACUAGGAUCUUCAUCUGUGUAUGGGCUUUUGUUAUGCUAGGAAAUGGAUAGCACUUCCAUCCCAUAUAUUGUCUCCCUCCCUCAGAAAAGAAUGAUGAUAUUGACACUCAGAAAUACACUUUGACAAUAAUGUCUCACAUUAAUAGUUAAAAUACCAAGCAAUUUAAGAAUACUCGUCUCCUUCGUAUAAAAUGUGGAAUGCCAAUAAAAAUUAGUGGCAACUUUCUAAUAUUGUUACUGACCUGAAAAUAUUAUUUUUUUCAGAAACCUCUCUUAAGUUGAGGAGAACUGUUAGCAUCAUUACUGUUAAAUCUAAUAAGCAUAAUCAAAAUGGCCUACAUAAUCAAACUCAAUACACCCUAGUAUAUCCUAUAUAGAUCUGCAAAACUGACAACAUUGGCCAAAAGCUCGGAAAGAUGCAUAUGCACCUUAAUAGGCAGAUGUGUAUUGUGUAGUACAUAAAAGUUGUCAAACCCAUGAACACACAAUUUUAAAGAGUCGUUAUCAAACAAAACCAACUGAACAAUCUCUGAAACAAUUUAUAACAAAAAAAAAUCAACAAAACUAACAUAAAAGCAAACGAAAAGCUAGUACAUAAUAAAUUAUUCAGCGAACAGACAGAAGAAACGAGGCAAUCAGAGGAGAAGAAUAAUAUUACUUUCUAUUUUUAACACCACCCACUAUAACCCAUAACAAUAUUCAUAAAUCAAAAAGUUGUCUAUCAACACAAACAAAUCUGCAGAUUCUAGGGUUUAGCCCUCAAAAAAUAUUAGCCCUCCAAUUUUUCAAAACCAAAACACAAAAUAUAAAACAAAAGGCCUAAUUCAACACUAAAAGCAAGAAAAUCCAUCUACCCACAUCUAAUUUUCUUACCUUGCAAUGAAUCGAAGGAUUUGUCGCGAGGAGAUGGGAAGCCUGAGCGAGGAGAUGGUCGGCGAGCGAGGAGAUGGGCGAGCUGGGAGAUGGGAAGAGCAAGAAAGAGGCAGCGGGGAAAGCAGGAGAGAGGCA
RNAcentral lists this long non-coding RNA (2014 nucleotides) under Panax ginseng (ginseng). RNAcentral describes it as "long non-coding RNA (PGIN_LNC018831)". The record is from RNAcentral. Lineage: Eukaryota; Viridiplantae; Streptophyta; Magnoliopsida; Apiales; Araliaceae.